AACGAACGCUGGCGGCAUGCCUAACACAUGCAAGUCGAACGAGAUCUUCGGGUCUAGUGGCGCACGGGUGCGUAACGCGUGGGAAUCUGCCCUUUGGUUCGGAAUAACAGUUGGAAACGACUGCUAAUACCGGAUGAUGACGAAAGUCCAAAGAUUUAUCGCCAGAGGAUGAGCCCGCGUAGGAUUAGCUAGUUGGUGUGGUAAAGGCGCACCAAGGCGACGAUCCUUAGCUGGUCUGAGAGGAUGAUCAGCCACACUGGGACUGAGACACGGAGCAGACUCGUACGGGAGGCAGCAGUGGGGAAUAUUGGACAAUGGGCGAAAGCCUGAUCCAGCAAUGCCGCGUGGGUGAUGAAGGCCUUAGGGUUGUAAAGCUCUUUUACCCGGGAUGAUAAUGACAGUACCGGGAGAAUAAGCUCCGGCUAACUCCGUGCCAGCAGCCGCGGUAA
RNAcentral lists this ribosomal RNA (449 nucleotides) under uncultured bacterium. Its description in RNAcentral is "partial 16S ribosomal RNA". It matches the Rfam family "Bacterial small subunit ribosomal RNA", at positions 29 to 523 of the family's 1533-position model. The record is from RNAcentral.